GAGGAUGUCCAGCCCCACUGGAAUUGAGCCCCGGUCCAGAUUCUUACGGGAGGCACCAGUGGGGAUUAUUGCCCAACGGGCGCAAGCCUGAUGCGCCAUCCCGCGUGUUGGAGAAGGCCUUCGGGUUGUAAAGUACUCAGCGGGGAGGAAGGGCUUGUGGUUAAUAACCGCAGCAAUUGACGUUACCCGCAGAAGAAGCCCCGGCUAACUCCG
This 213-nucleotide ribosomal RNA is filed under the name uncultured Cronobacter sp. RNAcentral's name for it is "partial 16S ribosomal RNA". It matches the Rfam family "Bacterial small subunit ribosomal RNA", at positions 296 to 505 of the family's 1533-position model. The record is from RNAcentral. Lineage: Bacteria; Pseudomonadati; Pseudomonadota; Gammaproteobacteria; Enterobacterales; Enterobacteriaceae.